Erinaceus europaeus (western European hedgehog) is the source of this 730-nucleotide long non-coding RNA. RefSeq lists it as uncharacterized. NCBI's taxonomy places the organism in Eukaryota, Metazoa, Chordata, Mammalia, Eulipotyphla, Erinaceidae. The record is from RefSeq and is a predicted model, not a curated record. The transcript is spliced from 3 exons.
UGUUCAGCAAAAGCAGGAGUGGCAUUCCUGUCUGGAGAGGAGCCCUUCCAUCUGGAACAGAUGACUUCAGAGACCCCAAGGCAGCUGGUCCCCAAUCCCAGGCAGCAGAGAAGGAGCCAGCAGGGAAGAGGUUCCUGCACAGCAUCAGAUGUGUCUGACUUCUAAGGAAAAUGAGACUCCAGACACAGUGAUGGGUGAGUGUUAAGAUAUUCUAAGUUGGGAUGGUUGGAUUUAAAAUAGCAGUUCAAAACUCUCUCAGUAGCAGCUGUUUAGUAUUAAGCUUAAUUGUCUUCACACAUUUCAUCCAUCCUGACCAGCCCUUACUGUGGCACAAAACUCAGACCUGCCUUCCUAAAAGUUUUCUUUAAUACACUAAAGAAUAUAUUAAUUUGUACAUCUGUGGAACAAUAUAGUUGCUGGGUCUUUCUAUUUGUUUUGUCAUCACAGUAUAAUUUGUUUUAGGUGAAAUGCUUUAUUAAAAUAAUGAAAAUAAAAACAGCCAUUGUACAAUGUAAAGGCAUCAAUACCCCUGUCCCAAAUUCACCUGUUCCCAGUGUCUUUUUCAUCCCAUUUUCCACGUUUUCAGCUACAUGUUCUCAGGAAAAAAAAAAAAAACAAACCUCAGACCUGCACCUCUGCACCUCUAACCAUGCUUGAUGGUGUUGUUAGCCAGAGAGGUGAAGUCUCCUCUCUAUUUUUUUUCUCCAAGAAGUGCUGUCUUGAAAAAAAU